UGCAAGUCGAGCGGAACGAGUUAUCUGAACCUUCGGGGAACGAUAACGGCGUCGAGCGGCGGACGGGUGAGUAAUGCCUAGGAAAUUGCCCUGAUGUGGGGGAUAACCAUUGGAAACGAUGGCUAAUACCGCAUAAUACCUUCGGGUCAAAGAGGGGGACCUUCGGGCCUCUCGCGUCAGGAUAUGCCUAGGUGGGAUUAGCUAGUUGGUGAGGUAAUGGCUCACCAAGGCGACGAUCCCUAGCUGGUCUGAGAGGAUGAUCAGCCACACUGGAACUGAGACACGGUCCAGACUCCUACGGGAGGCAGCAGUGGGGAAUAUUGCACAAUGGGCGCAAGCCUGAUGCAGCCAUGCCGCGUGUGUGAAGAAGGCCUUCGGGUUGUAAAGCACUUUCAGUCGUGAGGAAGGUAGUGUAGUUAAUAGCUGCAUUAUUUGACGUUAGCGACAGAAGAAGCACCGGCUAACUCCGUGCCAGCAGCCGCGGUAAUACGGAGGGUGCGAGCGUUAAUCGGAAUUACUGGGCGUAAAGCGCAUGCAGGUGGUUUGUUAAGUCAGAUGUGAAAGCCCGGGGCUCAACCUCGGAAUAGCAUUUGAAACUGGCAGACUAGAGUACUGUAGAGGGGGGUAGAAUUUCAGGUGUAGCGGUGAAAUGCGUAGAGAUCUGAAGGAAUACCGGUGGCGAAGGCGGCCCCCUGGACAGAUACUGACACUCAGAUGCGAAAGCGUGGGGAGCAAACAGGAUUAGAUACCCUGGUAGUCCACGCCGUAAACGAUGUCUACUUGGAGGUUGUGGCCUUGAGCCGUGGCUUUCGGAGCUAACGCGUUAAGUAGACCGCCUGGGGAGUACGGUCGCAAGAUUAAAACUCAAAUGAAUUGACGG
Molecule: ribosomal RNA, 880 nt
Filed under: Vibrio harveyi
Lineage: Bacteria; Pseudomonadati; Pseudomonadota; Gammaproteobacteria; Vibrionales; Vibrionaceae
Description: bacterial SSU rRNA
Rfam family: Bacterial small subunit ribosomal RNA
Source: RNAcentral